RNAcentral lists this ribosomal RNA (455 nucleotides) under uncultured eubacterium WJGRT-121. RNAcentral describes it as "bacterial SSU rRNA". It matches the Rfam family "Bacterial small subunit ribosomal RNA", at positions 52 to 506 of the family's 1533-position model. The record is from RNAcentral.
UACAUGCAAGUCGAACGAUAGUUGGGGUUUACUUCAACGAAAAGUGGCGCACGGGUGCGUAACGCGUAUGCAACCUACCUUAUUCAGGGGGAUAGCCCGAAGAAAUUCGGAUUAACACCGCAUAAAAUCACAGCUCAGCAUUGAGUAAUGAUCAAAUAUUUAUAGGAAUAAGAUGGGCAUGCGUGUCAUUAGCUAGUUGGCGGGGUAACGGCCCACCAAGGCGACGAUGACUAGGGGAUCUGAGAGGAUGACCCCCCACACUGGUACUGAGACACGGACCAGACUCCUACGGGAGGCAGCAGUAAGGAAUAUUGGUCAAUGGAGGCAACUCUGAACCAGCCAUGCCGCGUGCAGGAAGACAGCCCUCUGGGUCGUAAACUGCCUUUUAUUCGGGGAUAAACCUUCUACGUGUAGAGAGCUGAAUGUACCGGAGGAUUAGGAUCGGCUAACUCCGU